RNAcentral lists this ribosomal RNA (548 nucleotides) under uncultured Glomeromycotina. RNAcentral describes it as "SSU rRNA". It matches the Rfam family "Eukaryotic small subunit ribosomal RNA", at positions 548 to 1098 of the family's 1831-position model. Lineage: Eukaryota; Fungi; Glomeromycota. The record is from RNAcentral.
UUGGAGGGCAAGUCUGGUGCCAGCAGCCGCGGUAAUUCCAGCUCCAAUAGCGUAUAUUAAAGUUGCUGCAGUUAAAAAGCUCGUAGUUGAGUUUCGGGACUAUCAUGUCGGUCGUGCCUCGGUACGUACUGGUAUUGUUGGUUUCUCCCUUCUGACGAACCAUGAUGUCAUUUAUUUGGUGUUGUGGGGAAUCAGGACUGUUACUUUGAAAAAAUUAGAGUGUUUAAAGCAGGCUCACGCUUGAAUACAUUAGCAUGGAAUAAUGAAAUAGGACGUUUGAUUCUAUUUUGUUGGUUUCUAGGAUCGACGUAAUGAUUAAUAGGGAUAGUUGGGGGCAUUAGUAUUCAAUUGUCAGAGGUGAAAUUCUUGGAUUUAUUGAAGACUAACUACUGCGAAAGCAUUUGCCAAGGAUGUUUUCAUUAAUCAAGAACGAAAGUUAGGGGAUCGAAGACGAUCAGAUACCGUCGUAGUCUUAACCAUAAACUAUGCCGACUAGGGAUCGGAUGAUGUUAAUUUUUUAAUGACUCAUUCGGCGCCUUACGGGAAAC